GAUGAAGAACGUAGUGAAAUGCGAUAAGUAAUGUGAAUUGCAGAAUUCAGUGAAUCAUCGAGUCUUUGAACGCACAUUGCGCCCCCUGGUAUUCCGGGGGGCAUGCCUGUCCGAGCGUCAUUGCUGCCCUCAAGCACGGCUUGUGUGUUGGGCCCCCGUCCCCGGUUCUCCCCGGGGACGGGCCCGAAAGGCAGCGGCGGCACCGCGUCCGAUCCUCGAGCGUAUGGGGCUUUGUCACCCGCUCUGUAGGCCCGGCCGGUGCCAGCCGACACCCCAACUUUAUUUUCUAAGGUUGACCUCGGAUCAGGUAGGGAUACCCGCUGAACUUAAGCAUAUCAAUAAGCGGAGGA
RNAcentral lists this unclassified non-coding RNA (350 nucleotides) under soil metagenome. Its description in RNAcentral is "partial contains 5.8S ribosomal RNA, internal transcribed spacer 2, and large subunit ribosomal RNA". The stretch from base 1 to 120 matches the Rfam family "5.8S ribosomal RNA", at positions 35 to 154 of the family's 154-position model. The record is from RNAcentral.